GCCCAAGCCGCCUGCAGUGGAAGCAUGGAGUCUUAACCACUGGGGUGCCAGGGAAGUCCUGUAAAGUCCCUCUUUUACUUUGCUGUCUCAGCGAGAGAAAGACGGCCCCCUGCCAGGACUUGCCAGUCUGAUUGUCAUCCACUCCAACUCUUCUGUUUCUCUGAGGCCCAGUGCAGCCAGUCCACGCCUGCUUCCCCGCCACAGCCCAGCACUGAGCCCCGGGGGGCGGAGGCCUUCGUCCACUGAAGUCUUGAACCCCUCAAAGUCAUCUAAGAGAGUUGUAGUCAACUACUCCCAGGCUCCUCUUAAUGUUGAUAUUUUGACCUCUUCUGAUGAAUCAUGAAUGUUCUUCAUGGCAUCUAAAAUGGAGACACAGGUUUGAUCCCUAGUCUGGGAAGGUCCCACGUGCUUCAGAGCAACUAAGCCUGUGUUCCACAAGUGCUGAGCCAGUGCUCCAGAGCCCGGAGCUGCAACUGCGGAAGCCCGCAUGCCCGAGAGCUUGUGCUCCACAGCAAGAGAAGUAAGAGGAGCCCACACACCUCAACUCGAGAGUAGCCCCACUUGCCACAACCGAAG
This is a long non-coding RNA of Bos taurus (domestic cattle), 576 nucleotides long. The record is from Ensembl. NCBI's taxonomy places the organism in Eukaryota, Metazoa, Chordata, Mammalia, Artiodactyla, Bovidae.